UAAAAAAAUGGGCGAACUUACUGAAAGAUAAGGGCGCAAAGCUAAAGGGCCUAAAGUGCAAGCGCAUGACGCCAUAUAGGAUUGCGUA
This 88-nucleotide non-coding RNA is filed under the name Oscillibacter valericigenes. RNAcentral's name for it is "c-di-GMP sequence". It matches the Rfam family "c-di-GMP-I riboswitch aptamer". Rfam says of the family: GEMM was predicted in a large-scale screen for bacterial structured RNA regulatory elements. Genes associated with GEMM are involved in a diverse array of functions, including chemotaxis regulation, signal transduction, secretion and chitin. The record is from RNAcentral. Lineage: Bacteria; Bacillati; Bacillota; Clostridia; Eubacteriales; Oscillospiraceae.